Molecule: ribosomal RNA, 433 nt
Filed under: uncultured bacterium
Lineage: Bacteria
Description: partial 16S ribosomal RNA
Rfam family: Bacterial small subunit ribosomal RNA
Source: RNAcentral
AACGAACGCUGGCGGCAUGCCUAACACAUGCAAGUCGAACGAGACCUUCGGGUCUAGUGGCGCACGGGUGCGUAACGCGUGGGAACCUGCCCUUAGGUUCGGAAUAACUCCCCGAAAGGGGUGCUAAUACCGGAUAAUGUCUUCGGACCAAAGAUUUAUCGCCUUUGGAUGGGCCCGCGUUGGAUUAGCUAGUUGGUAGGGUAAAAGCCUACCAAGGCGACGAUCCAUAGCUGGUCUGAGAGGAUGAUCAGCCACACUGGGACUGAGACACGGCCCAGACUCCUACGGGAAGCAGCAGUGGGGAAUAUUGGACAAUGGGCGAAAGCCUGAUCCAGCAAUGCCGCGUGAGUGAUGAAGGCCUUAGGGUUGUAAAGCUCUUUUACCCGGGAUGAUAAUGACAGUACCGGGAGAAUAAGCUCCGGCUAACUUCGUG